GCAUUGAGGAGAGAGAAAAGCAGACAGAAGAGUCCAGGACUCCAAAUCCAGGACUUCAAUUCCUCCUCAACCCAAAAAGCUCAGAUUCCAUCUACUAUAUGCUGGGUUCCAGGAGAGAGUUCACUAGAAAAUAAAAGCCUUGAAAACUAGGAUUCAUUCAUUACCAUACUUCACCUUUUGGAGAAUGUCAUAUAGUGUACAAUGUGUUUUGUCUGUGAUGAGGAAGAUGACCAACUGGAGAGCUGAAGGUGUCUGCAUUACUGAACUGGUGGAGCUCUCUACUACUCUCUUGAUUAAAGUGAUGAGAGUAGACCUCCUGUUUUAUUCUCUUCCCAGAAUGACAUCAUUAGAUCACUAUAUGUGUUAACAUAUUAAGGAAGUUCCCUUCCAUUUAUAGUAUGUUAAAUGUUCUAAACACAAUGAGUAUGAAAUUAUCAAGUGACUGUUAUUAAUCUAUUAAGGUGGGAAUCUGACAUUUAUUCUUACUUAUUCUGUUAAUAUUUGAACUGUACUUAUGAAUAUAAGAAUAUCAAAUCAACCUCACAUUCGUGGAAUAAACCUCACUUGUUCAUGAUACACUGUGGUAUUUACGAACACUGGACUUUAUAUAUCAAUAAUUUAUUUAGAAUUUUAUAUUCACCAUGUAAUAUAGUAUCUAAAUUUUUCCUUCCUUAUACUAUUCUUGUCAAAUUUUGGCA
Canis lupus familiaris (dog) is the source of this 698-nucleotide long non-coding RNA. RefSeq lists it as uncharacterized. The transcript is spliced from 3 exons. NCBI's taxonomy places the organism in Eukaryota, Metazoa, Chordata, Mammalia, Carnivora, Canidae. The record is from RefSeq and is a predicted model, not a curated record.